This is a long non-coding RNA of Brassica rapa (field mustard), 3345 nucleotides long. RefSeq lists it as uncharacterized. NCBI's taxonomy places the organism in Eukaryota, Viridiplantae, Streptophyta, Magnoliopsida, Brassicales, Brassicaceae. The record is from RefSeq and is a predicted model, not a curated record.
CAAGAGAAACCAUUUAAACCAUGAAGCCAAAACGUCCCAGAAUCAUAACUCUUACAUUUAAUCUGAGUUUUCAUUCAAUAAUCCACUCUUCCUUCAUAAUGAUUUCAUUAAUUUUUUGUCAUUAGAUCAAAGCUACUACAGGAGAGGGAAUCAGCUAUUACUCGAAGGCUCUAAAAGGGACUCUGAAGAUGAUUCUGAUCAUGAUGAUAGAUAUAAAAAGGUGACUGAUGAUGAGGAUGAGACUGGAUCUCUUAUCUUAUGGCUGAACUAGACCAGAUAAAUAAAUAAAGAGGCUCAGGAAGGAAAAGCAGCAGCAAAUGAAGAGCUAAACGCCAAAGAAGAGGAACUUCCCAAAGGAAACCCACUGCUUGACAACACUCCACAACUGUGUUUAGUGUCAAAAGAAGGCUCGCAUCUUUUUAAGUCUUGUUUCUUCAUGAGUCUCUGAAUUAUAUGAAUUUUUGGAGGCACAUAUUAAUCUUUUAAGUUUCCUCUUUUUUCAGGUGGGAUGAUGAUGUGGUAUCGAGAAUCAGGCACGUGGGGAAAUGAAAUUAAGCACCUGAGCACUUCAUCAGUAAUACAAUCAAGAAUUACUUCCACAAAAAGUUCCACUUUUGCAUUAACGAAUGACUCAAUGUGUUAAAAAAUUAAUUGAAUUGAACUGUUCUCUGUUUUUGUUUUUGAGUGCAGGAGGUCCUUGAGAUAAAAAGGCAAACGAGGAAAGUAGGCUUUUUUAAUUAUAUGGUCUACCACCAGAAGCAAUCAAUCUGAUUGGACCAUAAGAAUCUUCAACCACAGAAGGUAAUGGUUUUUUCAAAUACAUAUACUAACCAGCUAUAGCUUUACAUCAGUAAAUUCAGGACAGUGAUCGAAAUGUUGUCCCAGUUCAUACACAUGCAUUUGGUUUCUUUGAUCGGGCAUUGCAGUGAGAACAAUAAAAGGACCAUUGUGCAUGAGUUGGAUCGCUCAAGGUUGAGCUGGAGACAGAAGCUUGAGAUAUGACUUGGUGCAGCUAGAGGCCUGCACUAUAUCCAUACAGAUUCCGCAAGAGGUAUCAUCCACCGCGAUAUGAAGUCUGAUAACAUUCUCUUCGAUGAGAAUUUCAUGGACAAAGUUUCAGAAUUUGGAUUGUUUAAGACGUCCAGAUCCUGACCAGACACGUGUGAGUACGACGGUAUAUGAAGAUUCAUUAUCUUGAUCCAGACCAGUACAAGAUAACAAUUGACUGACAAGUCUGAUGUUUACUCUUUUGGGUAAUGCUUGAAGUACUUGAGGGAGACCAGAUCCAUCUAUUCCAAAAGAAGAGUCUUUAAGUUAUUGUAGUAUUGUUAGUUCAUGAGGGAGGAAAGCCCGCAUUUCUUUUUUAACCUAUUGCAUACAGAUUAUUGUUAUACUUUCAAGAUAUUUAUUUUCAAAUAGUCUCUUUUGUGUGUUUGUGUAAAAGCUUAAAGCAACUAGGUCUAGGUAUAUAAAACGAGAAUCGAAAAACAAACCAAACCAGAACCAAAAGGGAUCCAAAAUUUGUUACUCAGUUUCUACUAUUGUUAUCCAAACUUGAACAAAAACCAAAAUAGCAAAUUUAUAAAUAACCGAACGGUAACCAAUAUCUUUAGAACCAGAAAACCAAUAAAAAUCAGAAUCGAACUGAAAACCAAAUAGUAUAGAGGCAACCAAAGUGUUUCAUGUUGCGUUUAGACAAUUAACAAUGAAACUGACUAUUUAUGAAUUUCAAUUUGUAUGUUAGUGUUUUUGUUCCGGUUGGACAACAAUAGUAGAAACUGACUAAUAAAUUUUGGGUCUACUUUGGUUCUGGUUUGGUUUGUUUUGAAACAUAAUUUUGUUGUAAAAUAAUAUAGAUUAAUUGUUAUUUGUGAAACUAUUGAAACUAUUUAUACAUUACAUUAAAAUAUAACUUUUUAUAAUUUUAUUACAUUACAUUAUAUUUUCAAUUGAUUUAUCUUGGAAGUGGAUUAAUUUAUAAUCGGGAGACAAUAAUUAAUUGUAAUAGUAUUAUAAUUAUACUCUUAGAAACUUUUUUAAAAAAUGUUAUUCUUACUUUAGAUUUUCUUCAACUAUAUCAAAGUGAAAUAGAAAUAAAAUAAGAAAUGUAAAUCAUUACAUUUUCUUAAUUUUUUAAUUUCAUAAUUUUUGUAUUCUAUAACUAAAAAAUGGUAGAGGUCUUUUCAACUCAAACGAAAAAAUAUUAAUAAAUACAAUUUCAUAUUUUUUUAAAAUAUUAUAUUUAUUAUUUUAUUUUAAAGUAAACUUUCAAAUUUUUUUAUAAAAUUAAUAUAUAUUUUCAUAUACAAUAGUUUUAGCGUAAACUUCCCCGCCCGUAGGGUGGGCCAACCACUAGUAUGAAAUAUAUAAGAGAUAUAAGAAAUUUCAUAGAUAUUUGAAAAAAGUAAAGUGUUAUAAAUUUAAACGAACGUUAGCUCCAAUAUUUAUGCAAAAGUAGUUAUUGUUUUAAUAAAUGGUGAUGCAAAAGUGUAUAUAUUGGUCUACGGGUCAGUUACGGUAUUGAAUAUUAAUUGUUUUCCAUAGUUAGGAACGAUAAUAUAAUACUUAUCCAAUUUGCUUAACAUUUCUUGCGUGAAUGUUGGGAAAUCUAGCAAUGAAACAUAUUUACACAAUAUUUGUUUAUAUUCAAUUAAUGUGUCCCUAUACCUUAAGUUUGAGGACUAUAUAUAACAAACUAAACUCAUUCCUCCAGCAUCACUACCAACCUAAAUCUAAACUGCGACACUAAACAAAAACGAGUUCUAUGAACUCCAUCUUUGAUUUGAGAACGUAAGCAGGUGGUUUUCAAAUAUGUGAGGAGCUAUGAAUGAUGUUCUCACAUUUUAUUUCACCCUAAACUUCCAAAGAAUGAAACUUUCAAAAAAGUAAGAAAUAAGAACAUUUUAAUCCUUCUUAAUUAAUUCACUUUUAUGGUUUAGGAUAUAGUUUUUUCCUGACGACGUUAAAAAUAUUUUUUUUGUAAUUACUAUUAUUUAUUUAUUUUUAAUCUUUUAUUUUAAAAAUAUAAUAUAACUUGACAAUAUUUGGUUUCUUUUUAUAAAAGAUAUCGGAUAAAAAACAACACAAUCCUAUUGGUUGAUGAACCCAAGAAUAAGUAUUUUCUGAAUAAUUGAGUUUUUUUUGUUUUUGCAAUGUGGUGUUGAUGUUUUCUCUUUUUAUGAUUCUGCGGUUUUUAGCCUUCUAUCUUCGAGUUUAAUUGAGGAUUAUCUACUGUUAAGUUAUCUUGACAGAAAUAAACUAUAAUAAUGUGUUAUUUUUAGUUGUGUAGUGUCUUCGGUUAAGAAACAAGAAUAAAGAACUAACCUAACUUAAUCAAUUUAAAAA